GAUGAACGCUGGCGGCGUGCUUAACACAUGCAAGUCGAACGGGAUCCCAGGAGCUUGCUCCUGGGUGAGAGUGGCGAACGGGUGAGUAAUGCGUGACCGACCUGCCCCAUACACCGGAAUAGCUCCUGGAAACGGGUGGUAAUGCCGGAUGCUCCAGUUGACCGCAUGGUCCUCUGGGAAAGCUUUUGCGGUAUGGGAUGGGGUCGCGUCCUAUCAGCUUGAUGGCGGGGUAACGGCCCACCAUGGCUUCGACGGGUAGCCGGCCUGAGAGGGCGACCGGCCACAUUGGGACUGAGAUACGGCCCAGACUCCUACGGGAGGCAGCAGUGGGGAAUAUUGCACAAUGGGCGCAAGCCUGAUGCAGCGACGCCGCGUGCGGGAUGACGGCCUUCGGGUUGUAAACCGCUUUUGACUGGGAGCAAGCCCUUCGGGGUGAGUGUACCUUUCGAAUAAGCACCG
This 459-nucleotide ribosomal RNA is filed under the name uncultured bacterium. RNAcentral's name for it is "bacterial SSU rRNA". It matches the Rfam family "Bacterial small subunit ribosomal RNA", at positions 28 to 495 of the family's 1533-position model. The record is from RNAcentral.